Molecule: ribosomal RNA, 504 nt
Filed under: uncultured bacterium
Lineage: Bacteria
Description: bacterial SSU rRNA
Rfam family: Bacterial small subunit ribosomal RNA
Source: RNAcentral
GAUUAACGCUAGCGGCAGGCCUAAUACAUGCAAGUCGAGGGGCAGCAGGGUGUAGCAAUACAUCGCUGGCGACCGGCGCACGGGUGCGUAACACGUAUGCAACCUACCUUUAACUGGGGAAUAGCCCUCCGAAAGGAGGAUUAACACCGCAUAACAUCACGAGACGGCAUCGCCUUGUGAUCAAACCUCCGGGGGUUAAAGAUGGGCAUGCGUCCGAUUAGCUAGUUGGCGGGGUAACGGCCCACCAAGGCGACGAUCGGUAGCUGGUCUGAGAGGAUGAUCAGCCACACUGGGACUGAGACACGGCCCAGACUCCUACGGGAGGCAGCAGUAGGGAAUAUUGGACAAUGGGGGCAACCCUGAUCCAGCCAUGCCGCGUGAGUGAAGAAGGCCCUCGGGUUGUAAAGCUCUUUUGUCCGGAAAGAAAGCAAUCGGUUAAUACCCGGUUGUUCUGACGGUACCGGAAGAAUAAGCACCGGCUAACUUCGUGCCAGCAGCCGCGGU